This 342-nucleotide ribosomal RNA is filed under the name Acalymma blomorum. Its description in RNAcentral is "partial 12S ribosomal RNA". Lineage: Eukaryota; Metazoa; Arthropoda; Insecta; Coleoptera; Chrysomelidae. The record is from RNAcentral.
UUAAAUAUAAUUUAUUUAUUAAAUUAUUAUAAGUUAAGAUCUUUAAAAUUAAAAAAUUUGGCGGUAUUUUAGUCUUUUUAGAGGAACCUGUUCUAUAAAUGAUAUUCCACGAUUUUAUUUACUUAUAUUUUAAAUUUGUAUAUCGUCGUUAUUAAAUAUUUUUUUAGAAUUUAAUAUUUAAAAUUUUUUUAAAAAAAUUAAUCAGAUCAAGGUGCAGUUUAUAUAUAAGUAGAAAUGGGUUACAUUAAAUUAUUUUUGGAGCUUUGAUUUUAUAUAAAAGUGAAAUUGGAUUUAAUUGUAAUAUUAAUUAAUUAAUUAAUAUGAUUUAGUUUUAAAAUAUGU